GAAACCAACAGGGAUUGCCUCAGUAACGGCGAGUGAAGCGGCAACAGCUCAAAUUUGAAAUCUGGUCAUUUUUAGUGAUCCGAGUUGUAAUUUGUAGAGGAUGCUUUGGGUGCGACCGCGGCGCAAGUCCCUUGGAACAGGGCGUCGCAGAGGGUGAGAACCCCGUCUUGAGUCGCUGGUACGCGCCCGUGCAAAGCUCCUUCAACGAGUCGAGUUGUUUGGGAAUGCAGCUCAAAGUGGGUGGUAAAUUUCAUCUAAAGCUAAAUAUUGGCCGGAGACCGAUAGCGCACAAGUAGAGUGAUCGAAAGGUUAAAAGCACCUUGAAAAGGGAGUUAAAAAGCACGUGAAAUUGUUGAAAGGGAAGCGCUUGCGAUCAGACUCGGACGCGGUAGUUCAGCGGGCAUUUUUUGCCCGUGCACUCUGCCGUGCUCCGGGCCAGCAUCAGUUUCGACGGCCGGUCAAAGGCCCCUGGAAUGUGUCGUCCUCCGGGACGUCUUAUAGCCAGGGGUGCAAUGCGGUCAGUUGGGACUGAGGAACGCGCUUCGGCACGGAUGCUGGCGUAAUGGUCGUAAGCGACCCGUCUUGAAACACGGACCAAGGAGUCUAACAUCCACGCGAGUGUUCGGGUAGUAAACCCGUGCGCGUAGUGAAAGCGAACGGAGGUGGGAGCCCGUAAGGGUGCACCAUCGACCGAUCCUGAUGUCUUCGGAUGGAUUUGAGUAGGAGCGUGGCUGUUAGGACCCGAAAGAUGGUGAACUAUGCCUGAAUAGGGUGAAGCCAGAGGAAACUCUGGUGGAGGCUCGCAGCGGUUCUGACGUGCAAAUCGAUCGUCAAAUUUGGGUAUAGGGGCGAAAGACUAAUCGAACCAUCUAGUAGCUGGUUCCUGCCGAAGUUUCCCUCAGGAUAGCAGUAACGUUUUCAGUUUUAUGAGGUAAAGCGAAUGAUUA
RNAcentral lists this ribosomal RNA (947 nucleotides) under Renispora flavissima. RNAcentral describes it as "eukaryotic LSU rRNA". It matches the Rfam family "Eukaryotic large subunit ribosomal RNA", at positions 61 to 1023 of the family's 3401-position model. Lineage: Eukaryota; Fungi; Ascomycota; Eurotiomycetes; Onygenales; Onygenaceae. The record is from RNAcentral.